RNAcentral lists this long non-coding RNA (1602 nucleotides) under Equus asinus (donkey). Its description in RNAcentral is "lncRNA (ENSEASG00005027426.1)". The record is from RNAcentral. Lineage: Eukaryota; Metazoa; Chordata; Mammalia; Perissodactyla; Equidae.
UGCACAAGCACUGUCACUACAGUCACAUUCUUCAUGAAAUAGGAUAAUGAUACCAAAUUCAUAGUUUCUGGGAGAUUUAAAUAAUGAAUAUAACAUUUCUGGCAUUGUUUCUAGUAAAACUUCACUACUUAAUGGAAAAAUUAAUCGGAAUUUUGGGAUACGUUAUUUUUCACCCCUCAGAGACCCGCUCCUCUCCUUCCACUCCCAGGGUUCCCGUGCUGUUUCCGUCCCUCAGUCUCUCUUACACUUGGAAAGCAGCAACAGUCUGUUCCUCACAUUGACCUGGGUGACUUUUCCACAGAGCAGACCUGAUCACGGCUGUCCCCUCACAUGAAACCUGUACUUACCGUCCACUAAUUUCAGAAUCAAACCACAAUCCUGUGGCCAAAAUAUAAGGCUCUUUCUUAACCUGACUGUGUUCUCUUGGACCAGGCUCAUUUCCCACCCUCUGCUAUGCAGUAUUGGUCAGAUAGGAAUAAUCUGCAUUACAAUUACAAUGUCGUAUUGCAAUUUUAUACACACACCUUCCAGUCUAAUUAUCCCCUAAAUGUCCUCCUCUCCCGGCUCAUCCUGGAGUGCUCCCACCUCUCGAUCACCUGGGAGAAUUCCAACACCUUGUUCAAGGCUGAGCGCAGUCACAAGCUUGUCUGUGAAGCUUUCACUAGACUCUCACUGAAGAGUCAACUUCUUUGGAUAGACUUCACCAGAGUUCAAUGUCACCUCUGGAUAUUACAGUUUUUUUACAUCUCCCAUCAUGUUUAGCCAAUGAGUGCCUUGUGAGAAUAAACAGUGUCUUAGUCAUUACUUAAUAUCCAGAAUAAGAUUUAGUGCCUACCAUACAUCAAUUGCUGGGGAAAAAAAGAUUUUUUUAAUGACUGCAAAAACAAACUAUUGAAGGAGGAUAAACAGACAGUCCCAAAAUGGGAGACAAAGAAUAAACCAUGAAAGACGGAAAUACUACUGAGGAAUGAAGGUCCCGUGAUGAAGCACAGACACUGGAAAAGACAAAACAGAGAAAGAAGUUUGAUUCCCGAGUUUCCUUCCAGAAUCAGUCUGUACUGGCAGCACUUGGUGUUACUACAUUCUCUCUAACUUAUUUUCCCUAGUGAUGCCCCCAAAGUAACUGCCAAUAAAAAGGCUCCCUCACACCAUCACACGUCCCCUCAGCACUUGUGAAAAUGCUGUGCUCACCUGGAUGUCAUCACAGAACAGCCUGAGAGCACCGAUCCACCUUCCUCCGUGGACGAGUCAUCGUGUUGGAAGUCACGCCUCUACGAAGGUCAGAUGGCCCCUCCUGGGUCCUUUCUCACUUGCUGUCAGCCAGGUUCUACGCUUGACACAGCCCUGCAUCAUCUCAUUGGCUUCACAACUGCUGCAGCGCUGAACACAACAGCAAGCCGUUACCCUGUAAAUAUCCGUGCAGAUUGUUCACGCAGAUGCUAGCGCUGAAGGGACAGGAGUGCUUCACAUGCUUGCCGGCUCUCCGCGUCAGGCACGCCCCUCACGCCGGUCUGAACCUGCAGCCCCUUUCACCGGCUCCACACGGUGGCACCGCCACGCCUGACGCGGACGUCUGGGGCUUCCCCAUUGGCUCAGGGGCGG